GGGCCAUUACGGAUUUGACAAUCGAUAACUUCGGUUGGACGUGAGUUCGAAUCUCACAUGGUCCA
This 65-nucleotide transfer RNA is filed under the name Caudoviricetes sp. RNAcentral's name for it is "tRNA-OTHER". The record is from RNAcentral. Lineage: Duplodnaviria; Heunggongvirae; Uroviricota; Caudoviricetes.